CAGUAGCCGCGGUAAUACGAAGGGUGCAAGCGUUAAUCGGAAUUACUGGGCGUAAAGCGUGCGUAGGCGGUGAGUUAAGUCUGCUGUGAAAUCCCCGGGCUCAACCUGGGAAUGGCAGUGGAUACUGGCUCGCUAGAGUGUGUCAGAGGAUGGUGGAAUUCCCGGUGUAGCGGUGAAAUGCGUAGAGAUCGGGAGGAACAUCAGUGGCGAAGGCGGCCCGCUGGACAAGUAUUGACGCUGAGGUGCGAAAGCGUGGGGAGCAAACAGGAUUAGAUACCCCAGUAGUCCCUGUCUCUUAUAC
This 301-nucleotide ribosomal RNA is filed under the name uncultured bacterium. RNAcentral's name for it is "partial 16S ribosomal RNA". It matches the Rfam family "Bacterial small subunit ribosomal RNA", at positions 509 to 807 of the family's 1533-position model. The record is from RNAcentral.